GAGAACCAAGAUAUCCAUUGUUAACAGUUGUUCGAGUUUGGUGGCCGCACAAUUAAGCGCAGGCCCGUUUUCAUGCAAAGGUGACGAGGGGGGCUCGCGCCCAGUGACCCGGUCGCCGGCCGUGUCGGCCUCUAGCGAUCGUGACUGCGCCAUUCGUACAGAGCUGGUGACACUUUCAGACACCAACAAGCAGAGGAAUGCCAGGCCACUUGCCUCACGCUCAAGCACAGUCUACGCAGAAGUCCCUGAAUCAAAACUGUUCGGCAAUGAUUUACCAGGGAUUGCUACCUUUUCUAAGAAAGGUAACAAGGUUUCCGUAGGUGAACCUGCGGAAGGAUCAUUAACACGUAUCCAACGUUAAACCCCCCGUGAACCUUCAGUGCGCUCGACUU
Molecule: unclassified non-coding RNA, 392 nt
Filed under: fungal sp.
Lineage: Eukaryota; Fungi
Description: partial internal transcribed spacer region
Source: RNAcentral